This 27-nucleotide non-coding RNA is filed under the name Mus musculus (house mouse). Lineage: Eukaryota; Metazoa; Chordata; Mammalia; Rodentia; Muridae. The record is from RNAcentral.
UGUAUCUGAUGCUUUACGCCACCCCAC